AUGGUCCAUACAUCCAAUAUGUAUCACGCUUCUAACAAACGACAGCAAAACACUAUAAUGGGAGAUAUAAAAAAUAUAAUCACUAACUUAGCAAACUGACAUCUGCAACAACAGAGGAUGUAAAAUUCCGAUCUUAAGUUACGAUGAGCUUGUAGUUUUGGAGAAUUUUUCCAAAACUCCUCAAGGAAAGGCUGCAGUACGAAAAAGAUUCGAGCGGGAGCAUUUCGCAACUUUAUAUGAUUUCUGCAGAAAUUAUACCGAACAAUUAUUCGCCAAAUCCAACUACACUACGUGGACCGGACACUCAGCACAUAACGCACAUACAUCCGUGCAACCACAAAAAGCUCUUGAUAUGUGUGUAGUUCAAAUCUUACUUGAUGUAGCCCAAGAGAAAUAUGCUUCAGAUAGGAAAACAGCAACGUCAACAUUUGCCCGCGCUUUAAAAAAUUUGAAUGAAACGGAGAAAGCGAGGAAGAAACGAAACGAAAGAACUGAAGACAUGGGUAUGUAGAGUCGUUAGCUGGGCGGAAGCAACACUGCUGUAAAAUUAGUACGAAGCGUUUAUUAUGAAAUAACGAGUCAGUUUGCUAUGUUACAUUUUACACCUCUUACCUUUCAGAUCGUAUAAAUAUUGGGAGUUUUCCUGCUUGCCGUACAGUCAAUCCGCCUACAGCAAAAACAACAGCAACAUGCCAUUCUAUGUAAUCAAUCCGUAUAUUUAUAUAUUACAUUUAUAUUUCCUGAUUAUACAUCAUAUUAUCAUGAUUUAACCUGUCCCAUAAUAUUCCGCCACGUCACUCGGUCAGUUGCUGCUUGUCUUCAACCUCUCAGGUUCCCGAUACUUGCCAGGUUCUGCUCCACUUGGUCCAGCUGCGCUCCUCUCCGUCUUGUACCUGCCGGGUUGGAGGUGAAAACCAACUUGGUGGGGUUGUUGUCCGGCAUCCUCACAACAUGCCCCGCUCACCGUACCCUUCCAGCUUGAGCUACUUUCCGGAUACUUGGCUCACCAUAGAGUCGCGCAAGUUCGUGAUUCAUCCUUCUCCUCCACACGCCAUCCUCCUGUACACCACCGAAGAUCGUUCUCAACACCCUUCUUUCGAAGAUUUCGAGUGCUUGCAGAUCCUUCUCGAGCAUUGUCCACGUUUCGUGCCCGUAGAGAACCACCGGUCUAAUCAGUGUGUUGUACAUGGCGUAUUUCGUGCGGUGGUGAAGCUUCCUGGAUCUCAAACCGUAUGCAUCAAUCCUCAAUUGUUUUUCCACCAACUAUUUUGCAUAAUUCAAAUCGUAAUAAUCUAAUAAAUCGACUGAUUUUCUUCUUUUAGAGUUUAAUAAAUGCUUUAAAUGAAUAAAUCGGUGGCAAAGCUGUAUACAAUUUUUCCUACGCAUACUACCAAGCGUUAAAUUCUUAUACAUGCUCAAAGAAAGUAACUUGAGCCUUAACUCACUCAAACUGUACUUACUCACUCAGACUGCACUUGCAAACUCAAGCACACUCACACACACUGUACUUGAUACUCAACCAUUACCUCACUCAAAUUGCAUUUAUUUGCUUAAAUACACUCACACAUAGACUGAACUUGACACCCACUCAUUGUUAUACUCAAGCCCUUGCAUACACAAAUAUAUUCACAUUCAUUUGAACACAGAUUGCACAUGAACAUUCAGACCCUCCUACAUGUAUACUGCACUUGCACACUCAUGUCGUUUUUCAUUGAAAACACUGGGGCGGUGGAUUGCACUGGUUUUGCACUUUCUAGCAGAAGUGGGAAUAAAACACGUCUAGUGGCCUGUUCUUCUGCUAGAAAAUGCAACCCCAGUGCAAUCCACCGCCCAUUAUACGGAAUGCUUCGAGGCAUCAGCUGCCAGGAUCCGGGCUGCUGCCAAUGCACAACAGUAGUAUGAAUAACUCUAGUGAUCGGGGCAGUUUGAAACCUGGCGACGGUAUUGGUCCGUUGCUAACUGUCCUUCUCGAAACCCACUUUGAUAUUCGCCGACAAAGCAUUCAGCCAACGGGCGCAGUCUACCCAACAGAACACGAGAAACUACCUUGUAGGCAGCAUUGAGGAUCAUUAUGCCUCGGAAGUUUACAGCCCCUCUCCAAGAUUGGGCAUAUGAGGCCAUUCAACCAAUCCGAAGGCAUUUUUUCUUCCACACAGAUCAUCCCAAUCACGCAGUGGAUUGCUUCGCACAGCCAGUCGCUCCUAAUUUUUAGAAGUUCACCCGGGAUUCCGCCCUUUCCAACGACCUUAUCGUUUUAAGCUUUCACAUAACCUCCCGUCUAGAAAUCACUGAACAAAAAGAAAUUGUUUACCCCUCGCUAAUCGCCGGGCCUUACUCAAAAAAAAAUCUUCGGUCGAACAAUGUUCGCUACCGCACGAAGCUAAACUUCUAUAGAACACUUAUUAGACCGUUUGUCUUAUCUACUAUGCUGGUACCGUACCCGCAAUUUAAUAGGAACUAAAACACCUCUCUAAUGGAAUUAAAAGAUUGAAAAUACAAUGUAUUCUUUUUGAGUUAGAGGCAUUAAAAGAAAAACAAAUAGUUCAUAGAAAAAUUCAAUAACUCCGUAACAGUUGAAAUUUGAUUAUUCGUGUAGAAUGUUUUUUUCUCCAAAUAUAAUCCUCAAUCACCCCUAGAGAGAUUCUUAACCAUGGACCAAACCACCUGUAUAUGUUGGGUUGGUUUAAUCCCAACAAAUUAAUCUGCAUACUCCCACUACUACCUUGCAAUAUGUAUAUAGUUUUGUUCUAUCGCAUCCAUCACCCCGAUCCCCAACCUUUUUAAUCGUCAAUAGUCGCCAAAAUGAAAUAAACUGAUUUUUAUCGUGAUUAAUGAAACUUGAACAAUUACUAAAAAAACUAUAGAAAUUUAUUGAGUAGGAAAUGCCGCCCCCUGAUUUUGCCGCUCGGGGCGGUUGCCCCCUUCGCCCUCCCCCCCUUAGCGCCGCCACUGCAUCCACCCAUAGGUACAACGAAGGAGUUUAUAUUAUAUAAAUUCAAAAUAGCGUCAAAAUCGUUAAAAUAUUUGUUGGCUGGCUUAAGUCACAUUCACAUACGAAAUAAUAUUGGUGUACAUACACAGUACUGAUCCUUCACUGUAAUUUAUCGGAUAUGUGCUUUAAGCUGCCACGAAAGCGAUUCAAAUGUACUACAGGGUUCAAUGCAAAUAAACUCCUUGUGUGAGAAUUAUGCUAUUCAAUAAUACCAUUGCAGCGAUAUCAACGCCGGAAUCAUCCUGAUGACCGUACAGUGCGUGGACAAGUUAGCCGAUUUUUAUAGCGCCACUAUCAAACUCCCUGUCAAUAGUUUUGUUGGAACACCUUACCUUACACCUUACUUCAGGCUACUGGGCAGAUGUUUUCCGCAGCUUUGUUGAUUUUUGCUUGAAGAAAUCUCCGGUGGAACGAUCACACACUAGUACUCUGUAAACUCAUUCAUUCAUGCAUAGGAUGCGAUCGCCAAAUGUGCUAAUUGAUUUGAUAACAAGGACUAAAGAUGUCGUUAGAGAAUUAGAUAAGCUGAACUAUAGGAAGAUGAAAAAAAAAUUAAUGUCGACUCUUGUGAAACGGAAGUAACGUCGGCGAUGCGGAGGGCACACUGGACGAGCGAAUCAGUGGCGGCAGUAGCAAAAGUAAUAGUAUCACCUCAGAACAUUCACUCCACUCGGUAGAUCAGCAUGGCGGAAUUAUACGGAAUGUUUAAUGCACCGGUUGCCAGGAUCUGGGCUGCUGUCAAUGCACAACAGCAGUACUGCCGCUAUAAGCAUGACUGUCCCAUGUGCUAUGGAAUUCCAUACACACAUGGGACAAUUAUGCGUAGAGCGGCAGAGUAUGAACAACUCUAGUGGCCGGACGGUUUGAUACCUGGUGAAGGUACUGGUAGGAUGGAUUUCGGAUUUGGUGGAGCCGGCGCGAAGGUAUGGCCAGUGGUGGAAGUUGUUCUGGUUCAGGGAGCAUCAGUGCCCAUGCUGUGGGUUACCAAAACUGCGGGUACCAAAACCAAUGUACCUCAUCACCAUUCACAUCAUAAUCACGUGUUUCAAGCGGCCGCCCAUGCUGUAGCCGAACACUGUGCCUAUAACUUUGCUACUAUUAGAACGACCAGUACUGUGACAAAGCAGCAAAAGGAACAUAUUCAAGUUUAUUUGACUAUCGUAUUAAAAAUGGUUGUGUUGAUUAACUUUUUUCUCUAUUGUCACUCGGUUCGAGCAGGAAGAAAUUCCUGAACUAAUGUCUGGUUACAAGCGGAUGCGCCGUGAGUAUCAAUCAGCGUUGGAGAAGCUACAGGAAAAAUGUAAGAUUGAGAUGGAGCAGCAUAGACAUGGUCUAGAUUUUUCAAUCCAGGCUAAACAUCAGUAAGAAUCGGAACGCGGAACGAAGCAAAAUAACGUUAUGGAAAAGAAAAUUUACAAAGAUAUAUCAACGCGACAGGAAGGAAACCGGAAAGCGUUCAAUUUGUAUAAAAAAGGAAUACAAAGGAACGCUGGAAGCGCGAACUGUCGACGGACGAGUCUUUUACCAAGCGGCAACGUGAUGGAUUCAAAAGAUAACAAAGUAAGCGGAGGCUUAAGAAGAGCAAGUAGUCACACUAGUGCACUGAAUGCUCGCUAGUCUGAGAAGCUAGCGAAAUCGUCUUAGAGCAUCAGUGGCUGCUCGUUCAGAGGGCCAUAUGCGCGACUUCCGGAGGGUUAACGUUACUGGGUGAUCCGUGUGAACAAAUCAUUGCCGAUAUGCUACAGAAGCAAAGCUUACGAUUCGAUGAAAGUCAGGAAGUCGAAUGCCAUCAGUUGAAGGACCGACUGCAGUACGAGCUGGACAUUCAUAGUGCUUACCAGAAUAAACACCGCAUGCAAGCACAAGCUCAGCGAAAUCGCAUUGUUCAUUAUUUCUUUUAUUUUUGUUCAGUGGCGGAUAUAAUUCUACGUAAGAACAUUGUAAAAAUAAUAAAUUUAGCAUAUAAGAAUAUUCUAAAAUUAUAAAAUAAGUAUAAAAUAUUGUAAACAAUAAAGUAUUCUAAAAGUG
Molecule: long non-coding RNA, 5020 nt
Organism: Topomyia yanbarensis
Lineage: Eukaryota; Metazoa; Arthropoda; Insecta; Diptera; Culicidae
Exons: 7
Source: RefSeq, a predicted model, not a curated record